Molecule: ribosomal RNA, 391 nt
Filed under: uncultured bacterium
Lineage: Bacteria
Description: partial 16S ribosomal RNA
Rfam family: Bacterial small subunit ribosomal RNA
Source: RNAcentral
UACGGAGGAUCCGAGCGUUAUCCGGAUUUAUUGGGUUUAAAGGGUGCGCAGGCGGCCAUUUAAGUCAGCGGUUAAAUCGUGGGGCUCAACCCCAUUCUGCCGUUGAUACUGGGUGGCUUGAUUGCGGUCGAGGUUGGCGGAAUUCGUUGUGUAGCGGUGAAAUGCAUAGAUAUGACGAAGAACACCGAUUGCGUAGGCAGCUGACCAGACCGCAAAUGACGCUCAUGCACGAAAGUGCGGGGAUCGAACAGGAUUAGAUACCCUGGUAGUCCGCACAGUAAACGAUGAAUACUUGUUUUCGGCGAUAUAAUGUCGGAGGCAAAGCGAAAGCGAUAAGUAUUCCACCUGGGGAGUACGCCGGCAACGGUGAAACUCAAAUGAAUUGACGGGG